GUUUUAAUAAUUUAUAAAUAAAAUAUUGAUUUUGUAAAUCAAAAAAAAGAUAAUUCUUUUAAAACU
Molecule: transfer RNA, 66 nt
Filed under: Hymenoptera sp. 4 GYN-2021
Lineage: Eukaryota; Metazoa; Arthropoda; Insecta; Hymenoptera
Description: tRNA-Thr
Source: RNAcentral